RNAcentral lists this ribosomal RNA (460 nucleotides) under uncultured bacterium. RNAcentral's name for it is "partial 16S ribosomal RNA". It matches the Rfam family "Bacterial small subunit ribosomal RNA", at positions 338 to 795 of the family's 1533-position model. The record is from RNAcentral.
CCUACGGUGGGCUGCAGUGAGGAAUAUUGGUCAAUGGGCGCGAGCCUGAACCAGCCACGUAGCGUGAAGGAUGACUGCCCUACGGGUUGUAAACUUCUUUUAUAAAGGAAUAAAGUGAGGCACGUGUGCCUUUUUGUCUGUACUUUAUGAAUAAGGAUCGGCUAACUCCGUGCCAGCAGCCGCGGUAAUCCGGAGGAUCCGAGCGUUAUCCGUAUUUAUUGGGUUUAAAGGGAGCGUAGAUGGGUUGUUAAGUCAGUUGUGAAAGUUUGCGGCUCAACCGUAAAAUUGCAAUUGAUACUGGCAGCCUUGAGUACAGUUGAGGGAGGCGGAAUUCGUGGUGGAGCGGUGAAAUGCUUAGAUAUCACGAAGAACUCCGAUGGCGAAGGCAGCCUACUAAACUGCCACUGACAUUGAUGCUCGAAAGUGUGGGUAUCAAACAGGAUUAGAUACCCGAGUAGUC